UACGGAGGGUGCUAGCGUUGUUCGGAAUUACUGGGCGUAAAGCGCGCGUAGGCGGCUUUGUAAGUUAGAGGUGAAAGCCCGGGGCUCAACCCCGGAACUGCCUUUAAAACUGCAUCGCUUGAAUCCGGGAGAGGUGAGUGGAAUUCCGAGUGUAGAGGUGAAAUUCGUAGAUAUUCGCAAGAACACCAGUGGCGAAGGCGGCUCACUGGCCCGGUACUGACGCUGAGGUGCGAAAGCGUGGGGAGCAAACAGG
Molecule: ribosomal RNA, 253 nt
Filed under: uncultured bacterium
Lineage: Bacteria
Description: partial 16S ribosomal RNA
Rfam family: Bacterial small subunit ribosomal RNA
Source: RNAcentral